AGAUUGAACGCUGGCGGCAGGCCUAACACAUGCAAGUCGAGCGGCAGCACGGGUACUUGUACCUGGUGGCGAGCGGCGGACGGGUGAGUAAUGCCUAGGAAUCUGCCUGGUAGUGGGGGAUAACGCUCGGAAACGGACGCUAAUACCGCAUACGUCCUACGGGAGAAAGCAGGGGACCUUCGGGCCUUGCGCUAUCAGAUGAGCCUAGGU
RNAcentral lists this ribosomal RNA (210 nucleotides) under uncultured soil bacterium. Its description in RNAcentral is "partial 16S ribosomal RNA". It matches the Rfam family "Bacterial small subunit ribosomal RNA", at positions 26 to 236 of the family's 1533-position model. The record is from RNAcentral.